Molecule: long non-coding RNA, 1504 nt
Organism: Oreochromis aureus
Lineage: Eukaryota; Metazoa; Chordata; Actinopteri; Cichliformes; Cichlidae
Exons: 3
Source: RefSeq, a predicted model, not a curated record
GCCUCUACAAGUGUGACAUCAGCGGUCAUGGAGAGUCUCCAUCCAGCUGGAUCACUGUCACAGAAAAACCUCCAACCACAUCUGUCCCUACCACCACAUCUCUACCCCCUGACCCCUCCCUCCAGCUUCUGAUCCGAGUGGUCCUCCGUGUGGUGGUGUUCUCUCCAUACUUCCUCUCCACUCUCCUCCUGGUGUCAUUAUAUCGAUGCAGAGCCAGAGAAAGCCAUCAAACUCUGACUGAACAGGAAUUGGAUGAUGGCUAUGAAUACAUUUGUGAUGUCAUCACACAGUAUCAACCCUGAAUUUCUCUUCUGAUGUUCCCAGCUGUGGUCAGAUCUGCUGCAUUUACUCGUUUUGUAUUUUGUUUUUUAUCACUUCAUGUUUAAAAGUGGAGAAGAACAUCUGCCAACACAGACAGCACAUCUGUUGUUUCUUGUGGUGUUUUCAAAACAUCAUCAGCUGCUUAUCAGCUACACACACCUGAUUCUUUCAGCUUUGAUACUCACUGUAAUGGUGACUGAUGAACUGCCAUGCAGUGUUAUGCAGCACCUUCUCAGGUCAUGCAUCUGUGUGAUGGCACAGGUCCAAACACGAGGCUGGAAGAUCCUGCCAGAUGUUUUCUACAUCAAUUUUCUACAUCAGUUAAAGUUAAAUUAAGCUGACCUUUUUUUCUUAAAGCAGUUCAUUUUACGAGUUUAAACAUUUGACGAUUUUAUUUUCUACAGUGAUUAAAAGUUGUGUUUCUGAGAUUUGCAAAUCAUUGCAUUAUGUGAUUCUUUAAAUUUUACACAGCAUCCUAUUUUUGGAAUUGGGAUUAUAAAACUGUUUUGGUUGCAGUUUUUGAUUAGAACUAAGUCUGUACUUAUGAAGCUACGAAGUCUCCAACAUGAAAAAAUUGUGAAAGGUGGUCAAAUUUUGAACCACCCUUUUUACUUUUAGCAUAUAUUGUUUUUUUAACAUAUACUGUGCCCUGCCACUGUGAGGCAAAGAAGCAAAGAGUAGUCACCAUAUCUAACUAGAAAUGAUCAUAAUUCCCAAUCCCGCUGGCAUCUGCUGUGGAAAAAUAAACUCACCAUUGAAACCAAAACUGAUGUCCUGAGAUUUAUUGAUAAAAUCAUUUGCAAAGGAAUCAAUGCAGAAUGAAAAGAAGAGAAAAAAACUCCAUUAAACUCAUGAGUGGAUAGAAUCAGCUGUAGGAAGGUUUUCUUUUUGUUUUUUUUGUUUUGUUUUUGUCAUGGUCAUGUAGGUACCUGCCUGAUACAAUGAGAUUAAAUAAGAUGAAAUACUAUUUUCCCACAGUGUCAAGAGACACAAACUUACUAACUGCUGAAAAGAAGCUGAUUUUAAACAAGCCAACAACACUUGUCACACACAGCUGUGUACUGGGGAGCUAAUACAAAUUCGUCGGGGCGAUCGUGGCUUAAGAGUUGGGAGUUCGCCUUGUAAUCGGAAGGUUGCAGGUUCGAGCCCCGGCUCGGACAGUCUCGGUCAUUGUGUCCUUGGG